UACGUAGGGUGCAAGCGUUAAUCGGAAUUACUGGGCGUAAAGCGUGCGCAGGCGGUUGUGCAAGACCGAUGUGAAAUCCCCGGGCUUAACCUGGGAAUGGCAUUGGUGACUACACGGCUAGAGUGUGUCAGAGGGGGGUAGAAUUCCACGUGUAGCAGUGAAAUGCGUAGAGAUGUGGAGGAAUACCGAUGGCGAAGGCAGCCCCCUGGGAUAACACUGACGCUCAUGCACGAAAGCGUGGGGAGCAAACAGG
This 253-nucleotide ribosomal RNA is filed under the name uncultured bacterium. Its description in RNAcentral is "partial 16S ribosomal RNA". It matches the Rfam family "Bacterial small subunit ribosomal RNA", at positions 524 to 776 of the family's 1533-position model. The record is from RNAcentral.